This 440-nucleotide ribosomal RNA is filed under the name uncultured bacterium. RNAcentral describes it as "bacterial SSU rRNA". It matches the Rfam family "Bacterial small subunit ribosomal RNA", at positions 28 to 474 of the family's 1533-position model. The record is from RNAcentral.
GAUGAACGCUGGCGGCGUGCUUAACACAUGCAAGUCGAACGGGAUCGGCUGGAGCUUGCUCCGGCCGUGAGAGUGGCGAACGGGUGAGUAAUGCGUGACCGACCUGCCCCAUACACCGGAAUAGCUCCUGGAAACGGGUGGUAAUGCCGGAUGCUCCGACAUGACGCAUGUCGUGUUGGGAAAGAUUCAUCGGUAUGGGAUGGGGUCGCGUCCUAUCAGGUAGUCGGCGGGGUAACGGCCCACCGAGCCUACGACGGGUAGCCGGCCUGAGAGGGCGACCGGCCACAUUGGGACUGAGAUACGGCCCAGACUCCUACGGGAGGCAGCAGUGGGGAAUAUUGCACAAUGGGCGCAAGCCUGAUGCAGCGACGCCGCGUGCGGGAUGACGGCCUUCGGGUUGUAAACCGCUUUUGACUGGGAGCAAGCCCUUCGGGGUGAGU